Molecule: ribosomal RNA, 468 nt
Filed under: uncultured bacterium
Lineage: Bacteria
Description: partial 16S ribosomal RNA
Rfam family: Bacterial small subunit ribosomal RNA
Source: RNAcentral
GACGAACGCUGGCGGCGUGCUUAACACAUGCAAGUCGAACGGAAUGGAGCUGCUUUGGUGGGGUGCUCGAGUGGCGAACGGGUGAGUAACACGUGAGUAACUUGCCCGUGGCUUACGUAUAACUUCAGGAGACUGGGGCUAAUACAGUUUAUGAUCUUCCGCUGCAUGGUGGGGGUGCGAAAUUUUCGGCGGUGGGGGAUGGACUCGCGGCUGAUCAGCUUGUUGGUGGGGUAGUGGCUGACCAAGUCUUUGACGGGUAGCCGGGCUGAGAGGGGGAGAGGACCCACUGGGACUGAGAUGAGGCCCAGACUAAUAUCGGAGGGGAGGGUGGAGAAGAUGACACAGCAGGAGGGAGCCAAAUGCAGCGAAGCGGCGUGGGGGAUGACAGCCUGUAGGUUGGAAACCAAAUUCGCCUGUGAAGAAGAGUGAGUGACGGUAAUGGGUAAAGAAGCACCGGCUAACUACGUG